GCUCAGUGUGCGUUAACUGGGGUGAGGCUAUCCUCCCAGCUCUACCAGUGACGACCCAGCCCGUGUGCCCCCACUGCCCAUCGAUAACAGUUCGGGCAGUAACCAGCUCUAGCAAGUGGCCAGGACCUGCU
Molecule: small nucleolar RNA, 131 nt
Organism: Leptonychotes weddellii (Weddell seal)
Lineage: Eukaryota; Metazoa; Chordata; Mammalia; Carnivora; Phocidae
Product: small nucleolar RNA ACA59
Source: RefSeq, a predicted model, not a curated record